GUGCGCGGAUUCUCCGCUUUCCUGAGCGCCGUGGUCGGCGGUUCCGUGGCUGUGGUGCGUGCCGGUGCUGUCGCUGGCGACCUGGCGCAGCCCACGCAGGGACUCCUGAGGGUCCUCGAGGCCGGGAGGUCGGGGGUCGGGAGUUCCAGCCAGACCACGGGGCUUCUCACCAUCCCUCCCACUGCGGCUGCCGUCCUCUGGCCUGGACUGUCUUACCCUUCCACCCUCCUGGCUGAGCUCACCUGUCUCCUUGGAACGCUCUCACAAGCCCCCUGCCAGAAGGCGCUCAUCUGGACCACCUGACCCCACGGGCCCCUCCCCUGCUCGCUUGGCCACACCUCUCCGUGAGAUUGUCCAUCUGUGGCAGCCGUGGUGUGGGGCCAGGGAGGAGAUGCUCUGGGCAGAGGGCCCAGGUGGCGUCUCAGGCUGGGAGUGAUGGUGCUGCCGUGGUUCCAAUGUCUGUGUUCCUCCGAAAUCCAUAUUGAGACUGAAUCCCCAGUGCAACAGGGUCCAGAGCCUCCCCACCCCCCGGCACUCACCAUGAGCUGAGCCUGCUCUGAGGACUGGGGCAGCCCCAGGACCCUACACAGGUGGGGCUCAGCAGCUCCAAGUGAGAAACCCAUGCACUCAGCCUGGGGAGUUCUGGCAGUGACGGGAGGAGGCACCGUCCUGCCCAGGGGGCUGAGAAGGCUGAGCCUUGAGUGAAUGGCAGUGAGCGGACAUCAGCAACUCCAGGAUGGAGCGAGUUCCCAGGGACCCAGAGUGGCUUGGUCUGAGGACAGCGCUCACUCCCAGAUGUGUGGGAAGCCCUUGGCACCAAGCCUCAGCCUUUUCAUCUGUGAAAUGGAGACAUCGUCGCUGAACUUGCAGGCUGUCCCUGAGGGUGAGGCCAUCAGAGAGGGUGGGGGUCAGGGGUCUCACAGCAGGAGCUUAGCUGGUGUCAGCAUCUCCUGGACCCGUUCUCAGCUCCGAGCGCCCGGCCCUGCCACCCAUGUCCAAGUCUGCACUGUGCCCACGAGGCCGUCAAGGCCACAGACAGCCCCACGCCUCUUGGACCCCGCCCUGGCACAGUCCUUGCGUGGGGUGGGUGCUCCUUCUAGGGAAGGAGGAGUAACUCUUGGGUGGUGGGAUGGUUGCCAUGGAAAGGGGCAGUAGCACCCAGGUAUUGCCAUGGCAACCGUUAACUGACAUGGCACACUGGAGGGCGUGUCUCAUGGAAAGCUGCCUGUGCCCCGCCCUGUGUUAGCCGGUCCUCCAUGUGGUCCAGUAUCUGAGCCCCGCCUCCUGCCUCAGAUGCUCCUGUCUGUCACCCCAUUACCAGGGCGGCACCCCGGGUCCUCUCCAGCCGUCACGCUCCUGACAUUUCCGCGCUGGACGCUGCCACACAGGCUGCAUGCUUGCGCGUACCCAGGUCCUCCCCUAUCUGGGAUAAACCAGGCACGUGGAGGCCACCCCAUUUUCCGUCCACCAGCAGUGGAGGAGUUGCCCAGCCUCGCAGGGAAACGUCUCUCAUGUCGGCAGCAGAGCAGCCUGUUCAAGCUUUUAAGUUUUCUGCGGCAGCUUCCACAGCAGACCGUUAUUUCUCUCUGUCCUGGAGGCUGGACGUCCCAGGUCCCGGUGUGGCAGGCCUGGUUCCUCCCAAGGCCUCUCCUUGGCUUGUGGGCGGUGUCUCUUCCCUGGGUCCUCGCAGGGUGGUCCCUCCGUGUGUCUGUGUCCUCCCUUCCCCUUAGAAGGACCCCAGACAGGCUGGAUCAGGGCCUGCCCUAAGGAAUGAAUUUUACUUUAAUCACCUC
Molecule: long non-coding RNA, 1793 nt
Filed under: Macaca fascicularis (crab-eating macaque)
Lineage: Eukaryota; Metazoa; Chordata; Mammalia; Primates; Cercopithecidae
Description: lncRNA (ENSMFAG00000053727.1)
Source: RNAcentral